Etheostoma spectabile (orangethroat darter) is the source of this 396-nucleotide long non-coding RNA. RefSeq lists it as uncharacterized. Lineage: Eukaryota; Metazoa; Chordata; Actinopteri; Perciformes; Percidae. The record is from RefSeq and is a predicted model, not a curated record. The transcript has 2 exons.
AAAAUAUCCCGACUCCUACAAAUCUCAGAGAACACACAUGGGAUGAGUUAUAUUUUGAAUGUGCACAAAGUUUUGAACAUCUCAAAUACGUCUCAGAUAUUAAAGUCCAGAGGUUAACUAAUGAAUUAAAAUGAAUAAUAUGCAUCAUUGAGGUUACUUCCCCAACAAAAGACGCAAAAGAGAAGGGAAGAGUUAAUUAUGCCUGUGUGUGCUGAUUCAGAUAUAUAUAAUUAGAAAAGUUGAUCAAAAGCAGAACAAAUAGUUGAAAGCAACACAGAAUGCCUGAGAGCCUUACUGCAAUAUAUUCCAUUAUGUUUUUAUACAUGGAUUGUAAUCUAUGUUUUCUUUACAUAAAGAUAUUUCCAGCAUACAUUGAUUCAGAAAAAGGUAGAAAUA